Molecule: unclassified non-coding RNA, 386 nt
Filed under: Hevea brasiliensis (rubber tree)
Lineage: Eukaryota; Viridiplantae; Streptophyta; Magnoliopsida; Malpighiales; Euphorbiaceae
Source: RNAcentral
GCCCCAUAUACCUUAAUUACAGAGUCACUCAUUAAGAGUUCUUCUGCCAAUAAUUCAAACUCAGAUGAUGCAUAAUGAGCUAGCCCAAAGCUCAGCACUCCACCACAUAAUAGACUUAUCUGUCCUUGGACCUGGACACGACUCCAAAGCAAAGGUACAGUAGCCCUGGCAUGAUUUCGGACAUAAACAUUUGUCCAAAGAGGCUGAUAAGGGAAGUCCAAAAGUAGGGUCUCAGUAUCUGUUGACAUGUUGUAAUUAUUAACAAUAAGGCUCCGGGGAACAGAGUCAUAUAAAGUCCCAGCAGCACCUGCAUUUUCUAGACAGCCACGACUACUUCCUCCAUGCACAAAAAUUUGAGGUUCAUCAUGCCUACUGAAAAUGUCAAC